CAGUCGACGCGUUGGCCCAUUGAUUGAUGGUGCUUGCACCUGAUUGAUUUUGGUUGCCAACGAGUGGCGGACGGGUGAGUAACACGUAGGUAACCUGCCCAGAAGCGGGGGACAACAUUUGGAAACAGAUGCUAAUACCGCAUAACAGCGUUGUUCGCAUGAACAACGCUUAAAAGAUGGCUUCUCGCUAUCACUUCUGGAUGGACCUGCGGUGCAUUAGCUUGUUGGUGGGGUAACGGCCUACCAAGGCGAUGAUGCAUAGCCGAGUUGAGAGACUGAUCGGCCACAAUGGGACUGAGACACGGCCCAUACUCCUACGGGAGGCAGCAGUAGGGAAUCUUCCACAAUGGGCGCAAGCCUGAUGGAGCAACACCGCGUGAGUGAAGAAGGGUUUCGGCUCGUAAAGCUCUGUUGUUAAAGAAGAACACGUAUGAGAGUAACUGUUCAUACGUUGACGGUAUUUAACCAGAAAGUCACGGCUAACUACGUGCCAGCAGCCGCGGUAAUACGUAGGUGGCAAGCGUUAUCCGGAUUUAUUGGGCGUAAAGAGAGUACAGGCGGUUUUCUAAGUCUGAUGUGAAAGCCUUCGGCUUAACCGGAGAAGUGCAUCGGAAACUGGAUAACUUGAGUGCAGAAGAGGGUAGUGGAACUCCAUGUGUAGCGGUGGAAUGCGUAGAUAUAUGGAAGAACACCAGUGGCGAAGGCGGCUACCUGGUCUGCAACUGACGCUGA
This 732-nucleotide ribosomal RNA is filed under the name uncultured bacterium. Its description in RNAcentral is "bacterial SSU rRNA". It matches the Rfam family "Bacterial small subunit ribosomal RNA", at positions 25 to 749 of the family's 1533-position model. The record is from RNAcentral.